CACGUAGGGUGCGAGCGUUGUCCGGAAUUAUUGGGCGUAAAGAGCUCGUAGGCGGUGUGUCGCGUCGGCCGUGAAAACCUGCAGCUUAACUGUGGGCGUGCGGGCGAUACGGGCAGACUGGAGUACUGCAGGGGAGACUGGAAUUCCUGGUGUAGCGGUGGAAUGCGCAGAUAUCAGGAGGAACACCGGUGGCGAAGGCGGGUCUCUGGGCCGAUACUGACGCUGAGGAGCGAAAGCGUGGGGAGCAAACAGG
This 253-nucleotide ribosomal RNA is filed under the name uncultured bacterium. Its description in RNAcentral is "partial 16S ribosomal RNA". It matches the Rfam family "Bacterial small subunit ribosomal RNA", at positions 524 to 776 of the family's 1533-position model. The record is from RNAcentral.